UCGUGCUAGACGGGGAGCUAGCGGUGCCCUGUACCCGCAAUCCGCUUUAGCGGGGUUGAACUCCCCCGUCAGGCCCGACGUCUUGGGUCACUGCCGCGUCGGGCGGCGUCGAUAGCCGGGUCCUGCGCGGCGGGGUCUUGUGAAACCCGUCAGGUCCGGAAGGAAGCAGCGGUAAACGAGAUACCUCGGGCGCCGUGGGUUCGCCUGGCUUGAGCCGCUCGAAAUGCGCAAACCCCGGGCUGCGGGACGAAGCGGGGGUGCACGA
This 265-nucleotide signal recognition particle RNA is filed under the name SAR202 cluster bacterium. RNAcentral describes it as "signal recognition particle sRNA large type". It matches the Rfam family "Bacterial large signal recognition particle RNA". Rfam says of the family: The signal recognition particle (SRP) is a universally conserved ribonucleoprotein involved in the co-translational targeting of proteins to membranes. Lineage: Bacteria; Bacillati; Chloroflexota; Dehalococcoidia. The record is from RNAcentral.